GGCCUGGCUUUUAUUAGGUAUAAUCGAAGCGGCCUCCGGCCGAAUCGGUUGACUCCAAAUAACUGCAGGACCGCAAAGGCCACGUGCCAGCGGCGAAUCGUUCAAGUGUCUGCCCUAUCAACUUUGGACGGUAGUGUACCGGACUACCGUGGUUGUAACGGGUAACGGGGAAUCAGGGUUCGAUUCCGGAGAGGGAGCCUGAGAAACGGCUACCACAUCUAAGGAAGGCAGCAGGCGCGCAAAUUACCCAAUCCCCGAUCGGGGAGGUAGUGACGAAAAAUAACAAUUCGGGACUUCGGUUCCGUAAUUGGAAUGGGUACAACCCAAAAAAUUGUGCGAGUAACAAGUUGUGGGCAAGCCUGGUGCCAGCAGCCGCGGUAAUUCCAGCGCAACUAGCGUAUGUGCGUGUUGCGGUUAAAAAGCUCGUAGUUGGGAUCUGGGUGCACGUUCCGUCGAUUACAUGUUGAUUUACGGAAUGGCAUUCUUCUCUGCAUUGAACCAAUGCCCUUAAACAGACGUUGGGGGAAAAUGUAGUCCCAUUUUACUUUGAAAAAAUUAGAGUGUUUAAAGCGGGCG
Molecule: ribosomal RNA, 576 nt
Filed under: uncultured eukaryote
Lineage: Eukaryota
Description: bacterial SSU rRNA
Rfam family: Eukaryotic small subunit ribosomal RNA
Source: RNAcentral